CCAAUAGCGUAUAUUAAAGUUGUUGCAGUUAAAAAGCUCGUAGUUGAAUUUCGGGGUCAGUAGAUUGGUCGUGCCACUGGUACGUACUGGUCUUACUGAUUCCUCCCUCCUGAUGAACUGUAAUGCCAUUAAUUUGGUGUUGCAGGGAAUCUGGACUGUUACUUUGAAAAAAUUAGAGUGUUUAAAGCAGGCUAACGCUUGAAUACAUUAGCAUGGAAUAAUGAAAUAGGACGCUCGAUCCUAUUUUGUUGGUUUCUAGGAUUGACGUAAUGAUUAAUAGGGAUAGUUGGGGGCAUUAGUAUUCAAUUGUCAGAGGUGAAAUUCUUGGAUUUAUUGAAGACUAACUACUGCGAAAGCAUUUGCCAAGGAUGUUUUCAUUAAUCAAGAACGAAAGUUAGGGGAUCGAAGACGAUCAGAUACCGUCGUAGUCUUAACCAUAAACUAUGCCGACUAGGGAUCGGAUGAUGUUAAUUUUUUAAUGACUCAUUCGGCGCCUUAC
This 499-nucleotide ribosomal RNA is filed under the name uncultured Glomeromycotina. RNAcentral describes it as "partial small subunit ribosomal RNA". It matches the Rfam family "Eukaryotic small subunit ribosomal RNA", at positions 591 to 1091 of the family's 1831-position model. Lineage: Eukaryota; Fungi; Glomeromycota. The record is from RNAcentral.